GCAAGUUUGGAGCAUAUGCAAGCAAGAAACUACAGCUCUUGUCAAUGCUUAGAAAGAGAGCUCAUCAUGGUACAAAACUGUGAAUCUCAUUACACAUAUGAACUCAAUCCUCUUCCAGAUUGUAAAGGAAGAUACUGUGUAGAAACCAAAGACGGUUCAAUGCCACAAUUACCAGAAUCUAAACCAGAAGUUACCGAGGAUGAAAACGCAUGC
Hydractinia symbiolongicarpus is the source of this 213-nucleotide long non-coding RNA. RefSeq lists it as uncharacterized. NCBI's taxonomy places the organism in Eukaryota, Metazoa, Cnidaria, Hydrozoa, Anthoathecata, Hydractiniidae. The transcript is spliced from 3 exons. The record is from RefSeq and is a predicted model, not a curated record.